GCUCGAGGAACGGUUCAAGCAUC
This 23-nucleotide non-coding RNA is filed under the name Arabidopsis thaliana (thale cress). Lineage: Eukaryota; Viridiplantae; Streptophyta; Magnoliopsida; Brassicales; Brassicaceae. The record is from RNAcentral.